AGAGUUUGAUCAUGGCCCAGAUUGAACGCUGGCGGCAUGCUUAAUACAUGCAAGUCGAACGGUAACAGAUUCUUCGGAAUGCUGACGAGUGGCGGACGGGUGAGUAAUACAUAGGAAUCUGCCCAUGUAGUGGGGGACGACUUGGGGAAACUCAAGCUAAUACCGCAUAAUUCCUACGGGAUAAAGAGGGCCACUGCUUGCAAGCUCUUGCUACUGGAUGAGCCUAUGUCGGAUUAGUUAGUUGGUAAGGUAAUGGCUUACCAAGACAGCGAUCCGUAGCUGGUUUGAGAGGAUGAUCAGCCACACUGGGACUGAGACACGGCCCAGACUCCUACGGGAGGCAGCAGUAGGGAGUAUUGGACAAUGGGCGCAAGCCUGAUCCAGCAAUGCCGCGUGUGUGAAGAAGGCCUGCGGGUUGUAAAGCACUUUCAAUUGGGAAGAAAGAUUAUGAGUUAAUACCUUAUAAUAUUGACGUACCAA
RNAcentral lists this ribosomal RNA (480 nucleotides) under uncultured bacterium. RNAcentral describes it as "bacterial SSU rRNA". It matches the Rfam family "Bacterial small subunit ribosomal RNA", at positions 8 to 481 of the family's 1533-position model. The record is from RNAcentral.